AAGUCGUAACAAGGUUUCCGUAGGUGAACCUGCGGAAGGAUCAUUCGAGAGGGGUUUGAGAUUUUGUGCUUGGGGGGUGAGACAGAGGUGGUGGGGUAAGGAAUUAAAGACACUCAACAACGGAUCUCUUGGCUCUU
This 137-nucleotide unclassified non-coding RNA is filed under the name fungal sp. Its description in RNAcentral is "partial internal transcribed spacer region". The stretch from base 1 to 46 matches the Rfam family "Eukaryotic small subunit ribosomal RNA", at positions 1786 to 1831 of the family's 1831-position model. Lineage: Eukaryota; Fungi. The record is from RNAcentral.